Long non-coding RNA from Monodelphis domestica (gray short-tailed opossum), 1272 nucleotides. Lineage: Eukaryota; Metazoa; Chordata; Mammalia; Didelphimorphia; Didelphidae. The record is from Ensembl.
GGUUCAGCCCACAGUUGGUCUGGUUUCCAACUGCCUUUCCCCGUAACAUUCCAAAUAGAACACUCUCCUUUGCCUGACAGGUUUGACUCAGCUACUCCAAACUCCUGCCACAAAAUCAUUCUCAAUUUCUCACUUCCACAAUUGUUUAUUUUUGGAAACCUUCUGAAGUCAUCUUGUCCAGAAGUGUCAAACACCUGGCCCCAAGGAUACAUGUGGCCUACAAAACUCCUGAGUGCAACUGGAACUGUAUUAAAAUAUAAUUGGGAAAUAGUUAACAAAAUAAAUAAAAAUACAAUAAGGCAUAGAUAAUAUUGCUUUUGAAAACUAAGUCAAUAUGCAGUCCAUGGGAAUUUUUAUAUACUGUUUAAUGCCCCUCCCAUUUCUAUUUGAGUUUCCCAUUGCUGAUCUAGUCCAUUCCCCUAUUUUGUCCACCUGAAAUCUAUAAUAGUUCUGUGUUUUUUCCAAGUUAACAAUUUCUAGACAGGACCAUUUCUAGAUCCAAAAGUUCUUUAGGUUUCUAAAGUAUUUGAGGUCUUUGAAUGGACAUAAAAUAGAGAAAAGUGUUACUUUCCCUCACUAGAGUAGUCUGGUUUUCUGUCUCUCUCUUGCCUUUUCUUUCGUCCUAUCUUUUAUUCAUUCAGAAGGGAAAUAGUCACAUUCUUUUCCUAAGGGUGUGGUUUUCAGGUACUUGAGUAGGUCACAUACUUUGACUUCUUUCCCUCAGCAGGGCCAAGGGGAAAGGGUAGUGUGACUUAGGGCUGUACUUUGGAUCCAUCCAAGUGAAGUCUCACCUUUCUCAGCCACAGAUCUCUGGGUUCCAGAGUCUGCAGAAGCUCCUGGGCCAGGGCCAGCCUGUGGGGCCCAGGGCAGCUGAGCUCUGAUUGGUCCCCAGUCCCUGACACACUAUUUAACUCAGGCAUAGCCCACACCCUGCUUAAGUGCAAAACCCAUCAUAUUGCAUAAUGGCACUUUGGGGCUUGUCCCAACCUUCAGUGAAACCCGGAAGCCAGCCAUAAAACAGCUCAUUCAAAGAUUAAUCUCCCUGCCCAUUUCUAGUUUGUUGGAAUGGGACAUGUCACUUGAUGUUGUGAAAUGAUUAGCAGAUGAGAUGAUUCUACUCUUGUCAUCUUCCAAUUUAUUUGCUUGGGACAAAAGUCCACAAGUACCAGAGUAGUCAAACCUGAAGUGAGCUAACUCAGGAGCACAGGUGUUUUCAGACAUAGCCUUUUGUUACAAACCCACAGAAGAGAAGCACAGAGGUGGCAAAUUUAG